RNAcentral lists this ribosomal RNA (253 nucleotides) under uncultured bacterium. Its description in RNAcentral is "partial 16S ribosomal RNA". It matches the Rfam family "Bacterial small subunit ribosomal RNA", at positions 524 to 776 of the family's 1533-position model. The record is from RNAcentral.
GACGAACCGAGCGAACGUUGUUCGGAAUCACUGGGCUUAAAGGGCGCGUAGGCGGGUGCUCAAGUCCGGGGUGAAAUCCUCCAGCUCAACUGGAGAACUGCCUCGGAUACUGGGUGUCUCGAGGGUGGUAGGGGUAUGCGGAACUAUCGGUGGAGCGGUGAAAUGCGUAGAGAUCCGGAGGAACACCGACGGCGCAGGCAGCGUCCUGGCCGCUUGCUGACACUGAGGCACGAAAGCUGGGGGAGCAAACAGG